Molecule: microRNA precursor, 113 nt
Filed under: Myotis lucifugus (little brown bat)
Lineage: Eukaryota; Metazoa; Chordata; Mammalia; Chiroptera; Vespertilionidae
Description: miRNA (ENSMLUG00000022565.1)
Source: RNAcentral
GUAAGUCAAGGCCCCACUGUGUGUAUGUAUGUGUAUGUGUGUGUGUGUGUGUGUGUGUGUGUGUGUGUGUGUAUACACACACACACAUUGGCUAUAUAUAUUAAACAGAAAAA